GGAGAUGGAGAGAGAGACAAAUGGAAAGAGAGGAAGAUGGAAAUAUCGUGGAAGAGAGAGAGAGGGGACGAGGUUAGGUAAGUGCAAGACCAAAGAAAGGACAGUAUGAGUGACAGUUGAAGUUUUAUGAAAGGAAAGCAUGAGAUGGAAGGAAAGAAGGAAAACAAGAUACAGACAAGGGUAAGGAUGAGUGGAGGGAUAUGAGAAAAGUUACUUCAGAUUUCAAGUCGGAACUGGCAGACAGUUCAACAUGAUUCUUACAUUUUCCCACAUUCGCAACACACAAAGAAUACACUAACUUAAAUUAAUACUUAAUCAUACUGUUAUCUAUAUAGCACAUUUCCUGCCAUAGCCAUUCAGUUUAUCUCAGUUUAUAACGCUUUAAAAACACAUGCCGUAACACUUCACUUCAAUUGCAGUUCUCUUAUAAUAUUAUCGCGUGGACAUCUUAACAUAUAAUGCAUGUUGAAGUUACUGUACAUUAGACACAGUUUGACACAUCAAAUGGCCACAUCAAUAACAAGCCUAACGACAUGCAAUAGAAACACAACACUAGGUCACUCAAAUCAAGGGUAGAAACCAUAGAAUUAGAACAGACAGCACUCGUCAAAAUGACACUUAAAUAUUUGUUGGACAUAUUUCCGACUCUCAGUAACCAAAAUAACAUCACCUAGAGGGUGCAAGAAUAAAUACCAAUUUAAUUUUGCCUCUGUUAAAAGGCCCAUGAAAAUUAUUCAUAAAUAUUACUAUGUUAUACCCAAUUAUACUAUUUUGAUUCCGGAUAUUGUAAAUCUAUGGUAAAGACUACUUCUCAAUGAAAAAUAUGAACUAGUCCUGUCAUGAUUAUCACAAAAGAGGGAGUGUUUAUGGGGUAACACGUUACUAGAACUCUGCAUCAUAAAUAUGUCAUAAGCCUGUCAUUAGCAUACAACAUCUGUUAUAAGCAGUCAUGAUACGUUCGUUUAUGCUGCAAUACAUUCCUGGUAGCUUUCAGCGAUAUGCCAAUUAAACAUGGCAGUUACACUUCCUAUGGAUACCUUCUUCAUAAUGCAUUAUAAUGCAUCUUGCAUAUCUCAUAAGGCAUUAUAUAUAUGCCUAUAAAGCAUUAUGAAGAGGGUAUUCAUAGGAAGUGUUACGACCAUGCUUAUUUCUCAGCUAGCUGAUGUACUAGUCUAAAUGAUUAGAGCCAUGUCAUGUAUCAUAUUGUAGCAACCUUAAAGGGUAGGAAGCAUGAGUUUUUACUCACCAAAGUAACAACACAGUGUGUUCAAAGACUUAAUAACUUAGUUAUAGUCAUGAUCUGGUUACCUAUAACUGCAAACAUGGUUAUGUUUUGGAGUUUUUACAUUUUUACCAUUUGGUAACUUUUUUCAGAUAUCUUCUAAACUACCCACAKGCACUAUUUCUCAACUUCAUAUGGAGAAUCUACUCUGCGUUAGCUAGCUCGAGGUGGCUAACGUUAGCCACUAGCCAUGCAGACUGAGUGUUGGCAGUGGUGAGCUACAAUCCACCAAUCACGAGGAGGUGUGGUGUAAACAACCAAUCAUAUUCCCCACAUGUGGGGGAUGCCUGUUUUUUGUGAAAUAUGCUACCAGAGUUUUUCAACCUUGGUUUAGUACUAGUGUGCUACAGUAGCUGACUGACUAUGCUGUUGUGAUCAUUUCCAUCUGCCUGGAGCCUUCCUCCAAUCUCCGUCUUAAUCUUGACUCUUCCCCUCGUCUCCUGUGCACAUCCCUGCCUCUGGAUUAUUGCCACUGGAAUCAAUCUAUUUUGGAUUUACCUCAAAAUAUCACCAUUGGAUUAGCUGACUCUCCCUCGGCCGGUGAAACGGCCUCUCCUUCUGAACCUCCUCUCUCCUUGACUCUUCUUUGGUAGCUAACRCAGCCAUCAAUCUGUGAUGACUGCUCUUCACACCAGUGUGGACGAAGGAAAGAACACAAGGAGAGGAAGCUAUUGAGGUGCACACCUCAUAUAAAAUUGAGGCAGAUUGGCAUGGAAAUGCAGACCCGUCGACUACACAAACAGGUUUUUCUACAGAGCCAGCCCUCCUGACAAGAAUCCAAUAUCAAGCCCCUCUAAAGGGAUGGGAAAUAAUUGGAGCAAAAUGGACCUCCUGCACAAAUUACCCUCAGUCACAGAUUUGCUCCAAAGCCUCAUCCUCUUUACACGCCCCAAACUGCAGGGCCAUGGGGUUGAAGAUGCCCAUUUGACCAGCCAUCUGCUGCAUGCGCCGGAUGGUGCGCUCCUUAUCCGUGU
Molecule: non-coding RNA, 2256 nt
Organism: Salvelinus sp. IW2-2015
Lineage: Eukaryota; Metazoa; Chordata; Actinopteri; Salmoniformes; Salmonidae
Source: RefSeq, a predicted model, not a curated record